UGACUGGGCAGCAGGAGCAGGUGGUUCUUGGUCACAUGAUGUUGUUAGCCGAGGCUGAGGAGCAGCAAGAUCUGAGCUGAAUCACAGCCCACAUCACUCUCUACGUUGAAAGGCACAUACAGCUGACACGCCACCAACCAUCAGGCAGAAUGUCGUAUGGGUCCAUUGACGGAGGCUCUUUUGGUAGUCGCAACCCAUUUGGAGGUCCUACGAGGCAGGGCUACCAGCCAGUAGCCACACAGGUCAGCCCCUCAGAACUGCAAGAUGUGUUUCAGGAGACCUCCUCCAAUAUCUUCCAGAUCAACGCCAACGUUGUCACACUAGAGAAGAAUCUUCAAUCACUCGGAACAUCUAGAGAUACAGCAGAGCUACGACAGAGUCUACACUCCAUUCAGCAGCAAACCAACAAAGUCAUCACCAGCACAAGCCAACUCAUCAAACAGCUCUCUGAUAUAAUCAGUGGCUCUUCACGGCAAGACCGUCUGCACCUGACCAGACUAAAGACUGAACUCUCAGAGUCUGUGCAGCGCUAUGGGGAUCUGCAGAAGAAAAUUGCAGAGCGUUCAAGGGCCUUGCUCCCUCCAGCGCAGACAGACAAGAAUAAGAGUCCUCAGACCCCAUCCACUGAGCAGAUGGAGGAGGGUCCACUGUUUGGAGAAGUGGUAGGCUCCGAGGGAGGGGCUCAGGCUUUCCUGUCAGAGAUCAGUGAGGAGGACGUGGAGGCGCUUCGCCAAAGAGAGGAGGCCCUGCUACACAUCGAAAGAGAUAUGCUGGACGUCAGUCAAAUCAUGAAGGAUCUGGCCAGUAUGGUCCAUGAACAAGGCGACGCCAUAGACAGCAUUGAAGAUUACAUCCAGACUACAUCAUCCAACGUUGAAUCAGCCAAUCAGGAGCUUGCAAAAGCCAACCAAUACCAGAGGCAGCUGAGGAAGAGGAAGUGCUACCUGCUGGUGGCCGGAGGCAUCGUUCUCAUCGUCCUCAUCAUCAUCAUUGCUGUUUCGGCGAGGAAAUGAGACCGGCCACUGUGGUAGCUGCUGUCAUUACCGUGUCACCGCAGCGCUCUGGCCCGGUCUGAUCCCUGACCCGAGCAGCUGGUUUCCAGUAGGAGGGAGCUGCCCUGCAACAACGUCUCUACUCCAUCAUCCCUGCCUCUGUUUACAACUGCAUCAGCCUGGGGACAGAGGCCUUUCUCCGCAUACCAAUUUAUCCAGAGUGAGCCCCGGUCGGAGACUCUCAUGUAAUCCUUUAAUUUAUUUAUUUAUUUAUUUUUCGUUGCUGUUACUGUUAGUGUGUCUCAAUUCGGAUACUUCAGUGAGUGCACUUACAUGUAGUGCACUGUGAACACUUGUACGGUGCGUACAUUUCGACAGGGAAGUGCUGUCUCAAAUCGCGCACAGCCGUUAAGCACUGACUGGAAAUUACUCUUCUUCUUCUUCAGUUUAAUGGUAGUCUCACAUUGCCAGACCUUCCUCCACAGAGCUAUUGGACAGAUAGUCUAGCUAGCUG
This is an RNA transcript of Sander lucioperca (pikeperch), 1506 nucleotides long. It is a transcript of the gene named T-SNARE Domain Containing 1, with no coding region annotated. The transcript has 13 exons. Lineage: Eukaryota; Metazoa; Chordata; Actinopteri; Perciformes; Percidae. The record is from RefSeq and is a predicted model, not a curated record.